ACGGCGGUAGUUUAAUGGUAGAAUCUAGGACUGUGGAUCCUAUGGCGCGGGUUCGAUUCCCGCUCGCCGUC
Molecule: transfer RNA, 71 nt
Filed under: archaeon
Lineage: Archaea
Description: tRNA-His
Rfam family: tRNA
About the family: Transfer RNA (tRNA) molecules are approximately 80 nucleotides in length. Their secondary structure includes four short double-helical elements and three loops (D, anti-codon, and T loops).
Source: RNAcentral